GAGUUUGAUCCUGGCUCAGGAUGAACGGUAGCGGCAGGCCUAAUACAUGCAAGUCGAACGAGAUUAAGGACUUCGGUCUUUAUGAAAGUGGCGCACGGGUGCGUAACACGUAUGCAACCUACCUCUAAUUGGGGGAUAGCCUUCCGAAAGGGAGAUUAAUACCGCAUAAAACAGCAGAACGGCAUCGUUUAACUGUUAAAACUCCGGUGAUUAGAGAUGGGCAUGCGUUGCAUUAGCUAGUUGGUAAGGUAACGGCUUACCAAGGCUACGAUGCAUAGGGGAUCUGAGAGGAUGGUCCCCCACACUGGUACUGAGAUACGGACCAGACUCCUACGGGAGGCAGCAGUAAGGAAUAUUGGUCAAUGGACGCAAGUCUGAACCAGCCAUGCCGCGUGCAGGAUGACGGCCCUAUGGGUUGUAAACUGCUUUUGUCAGGGAAUAAAUCAUUUUACGUGUAAGAUGUUGAAGGUACCUGAAGAAUAAGGAUCGGCUAACUCCGUGCCAGCAGCCGCGGUAAUACGGAGGAUCCAAGCGUUAUCCGGAUUUAUUGGGUUUAAAGGGUGCGUAGGCGGCGUGUUAAGUCAGAGGUGAAAGCCUGCAGCUCAACUGUAGAACUGCCUUUGAUACUGGCGCGCUUGAGUACAGAUGAAGUGGGCGGAAUGUGACAAGUAGCGGUGAAAUGCAUAGAUAUGUCACAGAACACCGAUUGCGAAGGCAGCUCACUAAAGUGUAACUGACGCUGAGGCACGAAAGCGUGGGGAUCAAACAGGAUUAGAUACCCUGGUAGUCCACGCCCUAAA
RNAcentral lists this ribosomal RNA (800 nucleotides) under uncultured bacterium. Its description in RNAcentral is "bacterial SSU rRNA". It matches the Rfam family "Bacterial small subunit ribosomal RNA", at positions 9 to 806 of the family's 1533-position model. The record is from RNAcentral.